UGAUUCCUCAAAUUUCUGCUAAUGUCUGCAUUGGUGUUUUAGCUGCAGUAUGGCAGAGAAGCAAGUAAAGGACUCUCUCUCAAAGAACGACAGUGUGAGAUCAGGAUCACGUGUGUCUUUGAAGAGUGACUGGUCAAAAAAGGAUAUACCACCAGAGUUUAGUGAGAAAACACCAUCAUCUGCCAAAAGGGUUGAAUAUGAGUUACCAGAUUCAGGAGACGAGACUCACAGGAGACACAAGAGCUUCACAGCCAAUCUCCC
Danio aesculapii is the source of this 261-nucleotide long non-coding RNA. RefSeq lists it as uncharacterized. The record is from RefSeq and is a predicted model, not a curated record. The transcript is spliced from 3 exons. Lineage: Eukaryota; Metazoa; Chordata; Actinopteri; Cypriniformes; Danionidae.